RNAcentral lists this unclassified non-coding RNA (17 nucleotides) under Mus musculus (house mouse). RNAcentral describes it as "oocyte_clustered_small_RNA13826". Lineage: Eukaryota; Metazoa; Chordata; Mammalia; Rodentia; Muridae. The record is from RNAcentral.
AUGUGGCUGGCUUGGUC